UAUACAAGUACUUGUAUAAUUGCUUUACUUCUGUAAGGAGAGUAAUUUUCAUUCAUUCUUUCAUCGUUUUGAAUUUGUCUCCAAUUACUAAAAUAGCUUUAUUGUGUUAUUACAUCGAAAAAUCAUGAGGAAAAUCGUAAUAUCCAUCCUUUUUCAGAUGUGUAUUAGUUACAUUUCGGCAAAGUCUUUUGUGAAAAGAAAUAAUCGUGCAAGAGUUAUGCGCAUUCACUAGAGAUCAGUUGUUUGAGUUUUCCGCCUGCUUGGAUGCUUCCUUGAGUGACGAAAGCAGAGAUAUUAUACGUGGUUAUUUGGGCUGCAUUGGUUUCUCUUCAAUCUUCGAUUUUUUAGAAAAAUCAUGCGUUACUAACGACGAUAUGGAUGACACUUUCCUCAAAGCUUUUUUGUGUUCUUAUGAAUACGAAGAACGUUUAAACACUGUUGUUACAAUAGAAGAAGAAAACAAAUGUCUGGAGAAAGUAACCCCCGCAAUAGUGAGAUAACCAAAGGCUUUUGUGGCACAAUCUCUACAGACCCAAGAUUUUUCGACAUUCGAAUGUUACUUCGCACGGAAAAUCGAUCCAUCCAAACAUUUUAAACUACAUUUAUAAUAAAAAUUUAUGACUUGUUUAAAAUCUCUUGUAAUUAAUUUUUUUUUAAUUAAAAUUUUUUC
Centruroides sculpturatus (bark scorpion) is the source of this 670-nucleotide long non-coding RNA. RefSeq lists it as uncharacterized. The record is from RefSeq and is a predicted model, not a curated record. The transcript is spliced from 6 exons. Lineage: Eukaryota; Metazoa; Arthropoda; Arachnida; Scorpiones; Buthidae.